UCCCACUGUCCCUGUCUACUA
RNAcentral lists this small RNA (21 nucleotides) under Arabidopsis thaliana (thale cress). RNAcentral's name for it is "Ath_wt_15600". The record is from RNAcentral. Lineage: Eukaryota; Viridiplantae; Streptophyta; Magnoliopsida; Brassicales; Brassicaceae.